This 72-nucleotide transfer RNA is filed under the name Scorpaenopsis cirrosa. RNAcentral describes it as "tRNA-Val". It matches the Rfam family "tRNA". From Rfam's summary of the family: Transfer RNA (tRNA) molecules are approximately 80 nucleotides in length. Their secondary structure includes four short double-helical elements and three loops (D, anti-codon, and T loops). The record is from RNAcentral. Lineage: Eukaryota; Metazoa; Chordata; Actinopteri; Perciformes; Scorpaenidae.
CAGAGCGUAGUUCAAUUAGUAAAACACCUCCCUUACACUGAGGAAGUACCCGUGCAAAUCGAGUCGCCCUGA